GCGCGUGUGGCGGAAUUGGUAGACGCGCUGGAUUUAGGUUCCAGUAUCUUCGGGUGUGGGGGUUCGAGUCCCCCCUCGCGCA
This 82-nucleotide transfer RNA is filed under the name Dermabacter sp. Its description in RNAcentral is "tRNA-Leu". It matches the Rfam family "tRNA". From Rfam's summary of the family: Transfer RNA (tRNA) molecules are approximately 80 nucleotides in length. Lineage: Bacteria; Bacillati; Actinomycetota; Actinomycetes; Micrococcales; Dermabacteraceae. The record is from RNAcentral.